GAUGAGGUUAUGUUAUGUGAUCUGCUAGAUAAGUUUGAUUAGAUGUGGAUUGUUAUAUGAUUAUAUUUUUAUGUGCACAUGUUUGUUGGAUUGAGGUUGGGUUGAGGCGGGUCCUGCUUUGUGCUAUAGGCCAACAUACCCAGGGCAGACCGGGUAUCCCGAAGGCCUAGCAAGCGGUCCGGAUAGGCUGUAGGCCCCAUGAGGGUGGACCAGACGUACCGAGGCUCAGAGAGUGGACCAGUCGACUGAAGGCCCAGUGCGGGCGGACCAGUCAUACUGUAGACUCAGAGAGUGGACCAGGUGGGUUGAAGGCCCGGUGCGGGCGGACCAACCACACUGCAGACUCGAGGGAUAUGGCUAGACUCGGAGGGUGGACCAGGUGGACUGAAGGCCCAGUGCGGUGGACCAGUCACACAGUAGACCCGAAGUGCAUGGUUGUUCUGUGUUCUGUCAUGAUAUGGCAUGUUAUGUGUAUGGUAUAUGUGGUUGGUAUUUUAGGGGUAUCUCACUAAGCUUUCGGGCUUACAGUUGUGGUUUAAAUGUUUCAGGUACUUCAGGAGACCGUGGCAAGGCAAAGGCGUGAUCGAACCGCUCCUCAUGAUUAUGUUUUUAUGAUAUGGUUCUGGGAAGACUCUGAUAAUAAUUGUAUUGAAAACCUUUUUGUAAUAACUUAAUGAAACUGGGUUGUUUUUGAAAAGUUUAAAUUGUUUGGAAUUUUUAGAGUGUUACAAAUUGGUAUCAGAGCCUUGGUUUGAGUGAAUUGGAGGAACAUUAGUGUGAAUCCGGUCUCAAAUCAAGGAGAUUUUUCAAAAGAGAAUUUAAAAUGGUUUUCAAAAUGAGUAGAAGAGGACGCGGAGGUACGAUUAGCUGGAGCCAGUAAGUAACCCCAAAAUACCAUUCAAGAUAUUUGUUUUUGAGAUAUGAUAGAACAACAUGCUAGUACUAGGCUAGGGAUCUUCAGGAAUUUCAUGAUAGAGUUGCCUAAUUUAUGAUGCCUGCUAGCCUAGGGUUUCUUUCUAUAUGCGAUUUCUAGUGUUCCUCUAGGAGUGAGGGUUAAGUGCUUGUUAUGUAUGAUCAUCACUAGGGUGUUGUGGUGAUACUUGAUAUAAAUAUGGCUAGGUGUGGAAGGUAGUAUGGGCCCGUACUACUGAAAGCACAGGACCUAUACGCAUAUCAAGGAAGCCACAACCUCUAGGUUGGGGUUGGGAGUUGGUUCCCAGGGUUCUGGGAGAGCUUCUGAUGUUUUGUGGUAUUUUCAGUAUGGUGGUUACGAGGCAUGCUGGGAGCGGAUCUAGAUCAGGAUCGAGAGCAGGAGAGGGUGGUCAGGGUGGGUCAGUACCGCCUGAGGUUAUUGGUCAGAUGAGCACAGACGAGUUGGAUGCUAGGAUUCGUGAGAUCCUGCAUGAUAAGGUUGUUGCGUUGNGCCGAGUUGUCGGAACUAUUCGGGUCGAUCAAGACCGCUAUGAUUGAGUAUUUUGAUGAGCGCUAUGCGGCCCUCACAGAGAUGGCUGCUGCGGCGGCUAUAGCGGCUGUAGCAGCGGCAGGGGGAGGAUUCGGUAGAGGUUUUCAGUAUCGGGACUUCGAUAAUAUGAAGCCCCUACCUUCGAUGGAGUUUAGGACCCAGUUAUUGCUAUGAGAUGGUUGUCAGACGUGGAGGGUCGUUUCUUCACGUGUUCAUGCCCUGCUGAUCAGAGAGUGAGGUGUGCUCUGAACCUGUUGAGGCUCGGGGCGAAGGAUUUGUGGAGAUUGACCACGGGGUCAUAUUCGGAUGCGCAGAGGGCUGCGGUUUCAUGGGAUCAGUUCCGGGAGAUGUUCAGUACCCGUUAUGUUCCACAGGUUGAGAGGGAGAGGUUGGCUCAGGAGUUCCUGGAGCUAAAGCAGGAAUCAGAGUCGGUGACAGAGAUCACCAGGAUGUUCACUAAGAGGGUGAUGUUCUGCCCAGAGUUUGCUUUGGAGCAGACUCAGAUGUCCCGAUAUCUGAGUAUGCUCAAGAGGGAUACCAGGCAGUUUGUGUCUACGCAGAGGUGCGAGACAUUGUUGAUGUUGUAGGAAGCUGCUAGGCGGCGGGAGUUGGAGAUCGAGUUACAGUUGAGAUAGCAGAGACAGGCUCCGGUACAGUCGCAAUCGCCGCCGAAACGGUCUAAGACCGUUGAUUUCAGUUUGAGCAGUCAGAGUAGCCGCACUUGUGAGAAGUGUGGGAAGGGUCAUGCCGGAGCGUGUAAGUCUGGUGGUGCGUGCCGCAAGUGUGGGAGAGAGGGUCAUUAUGCGAGGGAUUGUCGGCAGACAGCCCCAUUUCUGGAAUUGAGGAUUUGCUAUCAUUGCCAUUAGGUUGGACACUUGAGGGUCAACUGUCCACAGCUUGCUAUAGGACCGGUGCAGGCUCCAACACCGACCACUUUGAGGAUUACGGGUGGAGGUCAGGGUGGAGCAGAGCCCCCGAGGGCUCAGGGUCGUGCUUUUCAACUUACAGCAGAGGAGGUCAGGGCAGUGCCUGAUGCAGCUGCUGGUAUGUCUCCUCCAUGAUAUUUUGUUAUCUUGUGAUUGUUAUGGAGUAUUGUAUAUCUGAUAGUCUCGUUGUGUGAUUUUGGUAUUGUAUUCGUUUGUUCCUUGAGGGUUAUGGUAUGGUUAAGGGUUUUGGUAUUGGGAGUUUCGUUGGUUAUCAUCCAUGGGAAUUAUUAGAGGGAAAUCUUGUUUUCGGUCUGAAUGUCGGGUAGCAUCUGCAGUCUGAGGAGUGGUUAGCUGAAGGUCAGGCUUCUUUCAUAUCCGAGAUGAUCAAUGUUGAUAUGUGAUUUUGUGAAGAUUGCUCGUUCUAGUGGGAAUCAGUUCGCGUGUAAGGGAAUCAGUUGUAAAGGGUUGUUAAGGGAGGUUAGUUAUGGAGACCGGUGGUGGAUAGCCAGUGCUCUAAGUGGGGAGAAUUGGAAAAUUGCCAGGAGGAUCGAUAAGCGUUAGAGUUCGAUUAGCUGGUUGGGAUCUAGCAGUGUUUCAGUCAGCCAAGAGUGUGGGAUGGUAUGAGUUAGUGACAGAUCGAUGGGGCGAAGUUCAGACCAAGGAUUUCGGAUAGAGUGAUUGGUGGUUGUAAGGCCUAGGAUCAGUCCGAGAUCUGAGUAUAUGGGAUGGAGUUAUAGUUUGGAACCCCUAGAGGGCUAGAACAGUAUGUAUGGGCAGAAUUCCCAGGAGGAAUAGUUCGGGAUGAUGCAUGAUAGUCUCAGAACAGUCCAGACAGGAUGAAGGCCCAAAGAGGCGGUCCAAACAUGCUGAAGGUUGUGAGAACGGUCCAGACAGGCUAAAGGCCCUGAGAGGCGGUCCAGACAUGCUGAAGGUUCUGAGAACGGUCCAGACAGGCUGAAGGCCAGGAGGGCGGUCUGGACAUGUUGAAGGUUCCGAGAGUGGUCCAGACAGGCUGAAGGCCUGGAGGGGCGGUCCAGCCAUGUUGAAGACUCUGUAUGUGUUAGUAGCUCGGUAUGACGAGAAUAAGGAAAUGCGUCGCCAGGGAAUGGUGACUGAUAUGGUCUGGCCCCAAGUGUUGAUCUAGUUAGUGGAAAGCAGUGCAUGGACUUGAGAGUCCUUGCGAGCGGAUUCAGAGCAUGUGCGAUGGACGCAUUAGCGGUUACUCUACAAGGGAUAGUGUAGAGUGGAGUGUGUACAUCGUGGCACUUGUUGUAGUGACAAGGCGGCCAAGUAGAUUUCCUUGGAUAAGGAAAGGGAAAGGUAUGUACCCCGAGAGGGAGUGUAAGUUCAUGGAAGUGAAAUAAGUAGCGCGGGGGUAUGAUUGAGGUGUUCCAAUUAUGGUUUUGAGCAGAGUGUUUGCGCCGGUGGUAUGGAGCACAUCCGGGUUGGAUGUCUUCUGAGAUCACGGAAGGAAUCCCGAGGGUGUAGAGCCAAAGAGGCUCGGAAAGGGAUAGCAGUUUGGUAUCGGAUCAGGACCCGGUGGUCUGGGGUGAUGUCUAGCUGUGUAAGGGUCAAGCGAUCGUUGUGCUUUGGGGCGAGUGAAGUAUCAGGGAAUGAUACUCUGUUGAUAAGUAUGGUUAUCAGAGGAUGAGGCGGUGGUCAGGACACCGCAGGGGAAGAGUUAGGUUUUGGGUUUCGGUGGUUGUGUUUUGAGGAAGCUGCUAUGGUUAAUGCGAGGUGGUGGAUUGCGAGAGUAGUUUCUGGAGUUGUGUUGCCGCAGGCUUCGAGGACGAAGCCUAAUUUAAGUGGGGGAGAAUUGUAACAUCCCGAGUUUAGGAGUGCAAGUUCAGGGUUCCAAGUGUAAAUGUGAAUGGUCAACUCGGCGAGUCCAUGGGUGAACUCGGCGAGUAGGGACGCGAUUCCGGUCGCGUGUUAAGUGGCCAACUCGACGAGUCGGUGGCUGGACUCGGCGAGGUGGUGCUGGGUGGAGAAAACCCUAAUCCCAGGGAUUGAGCCCUAUAUAAAGAACAUAAUACCCUCUCCUCAGCCUCUUUGCUCUCCCUUGAAGUCCGGAAACCCUAAUAUUCGUUGAGAGAGAAUUAGAAAGCAUUUGGAUCUUGAAGGAGUGUUGUUGAAGAGAUUUUUGAGGAUUAAGAGGCUUGGAGCAAGGGGCUUUACAAGGUUUUGGCUUAUUCUUCUGUUGGAGUCUUCUUUGGAGGUAAUGAUUCGUUCCUUGAGCUGUUAUUCAUCUAGAUCUAUCAUUUGUGGGAUUUUUGGGAAUAUAUCUAGUGCUAUAUUGAGUUUGGAGGUUGGAUCUAAGGUUUCUACCUUAGAUGAUGAUCCAAAAGAGCAUAAAGUCCCUGUUCAAGAGCUGUUGAUGAAACAUUUUAGUCCCAAACCUUAGCCAAGAGUGUAUUAUGAUUAGAUCCCCUUGGAUUCACAUAAAGUUUGCCACUUUACGUGAUGGAUGGCUAAUAUAGGAGUAGAUCUAUGGAUUUGAGACCCUACAUGGCUUGGAAAGCCUCUGUAUGGAUUAAGAACUAGAGGUACUCGGCGAGUCACAUGGGUGUACUCGACGAGUUGCAUGAAGAUAGGCAGCAACUCGACGAGUUGGAAGAACAACUUGGCGAGUUGGUUGAAGAUAGCCAUGGACUCGACGAGUCUGUUCUUGGACUCAGCGAGUCUGGUCGUGAGGUCCUAACUUUUUCUGGUUAUGCUGUGAAUUAGUGAGUCAAGGGAUGACUCAGUGAGUUGAGUACGGUAAGACUCAGAGUUGUGGGACUCGGCGAGUCUUGGGGAGACUUGGAGAGUUGAGUCGUGUUAUGGAAGUUUCAGAGCAUGGGGACUCGACGAGUCAGUGGGCUGACUCGGCGAGUAGAGUCAGUCAGGAGGUUUGACUUUGAUUGAGGACUUUGACUUCAACCAAGAGUUGACUAGUUGACUUCCAGGGGUAAUUUGGUAAUUAUGGGUAUUUAUUGAGUUCAGUCUUUUGGUAUUGAUCAGUGGUGGAGUUCGUGUCAGAGGUUGGAGCAGCGUGAUCUUAUCCUUUUAAGUCAGCAGUUGCGAGGUGAGUUAUCCUCACUAUAUCAACAGGGUCUAAGGCACCAAUGCCGGCCCUUUAUCGGAUUGUAAUCUGUGUAUCAUUGUUAUGUUGUUGUUUUGAUAUGUUUGCAUCCGGGAAGUUAGGAUGGUUUAUGUUAGAGACCUGGUUAAGGUCGGUAUCCUGGAAUAUAGGAUGAUGCUAUGCUAGUAACUGGUUAAGUCGGUAUCCUUGUUAGGAUGACGUUAUGUUAUGUGAUCUGCUAGAUCAGUUUGAUUGGAUGUGGAUUGUUAUAUGAUUAUAUGUUUAUGUGCACAUGGUUGUUGGAUUGGGGUUGGGUUGAGGCGGGUCUUGCUUUGUGCUGUAGGACAACAUACCUAGGGCGGACCGGUUAUCCCGAAGGCCCAGCGAGCAGUCGGAUAGGAUGUAGGCCCCACGAGGGCGGACCAGACGUGCCGAGGCUCGGAGAGUGGACCAGGCCGACUGAAGGCCCGGUGCGGGCGGACCAGUCAUACUUUAGACUCAGAGAGUAGACCAGUUGGGUUGAAGGCCCGGUGCGGGCGGGCCAACCACACUGCAGACUCGAUGGAUACAGCUAGACUCGGAGGGUGGACCAGGUGGACUGAAGGCCCGGUACGGCGGACCAGUCACACAGUAGACCCGAAGUGCAUGACUGUUCUGUGUUCUGUCAUAAUAUGGCAUGUUAUGUGUAUGGUAUAUGUGGCUGGUAUUUUGGGGGUAUCUUACUAAGCUUUCGGGCUUACAGUUGUGUGACAUCCCCAAAAUCUCGGCCAGAAAAGACCGAUUUCAUUUAUGCUUUGCAAAACAUUUUCAGAGUAAAUCCAUUUGAUUUUUUUAAAAGAGAUGCGGAAUUUGUUCCCAAAAACAAAAUAUGAUAAGAUAGAUAUUUAUCAAAACAUUUCAUAUAGAAAUAUGAUUUCAUUUCAUAAUCAAAAGUCGGAUGUCAUGUUCCGAUACAGAUCACAAAGCAUAAACGAUUACAUUACAAGUCAUUCAACAAAUAUAUACAUAUGCAGACUUGUAAACAAAAAAUCACUUGAUGAUUCGCCCAUCUUAAGCUCUUGCGCCACUUCCUGUAAUACAAUUAAACUGAGUGGGUCAGGCUUGGGAGCCUGGUGAGCAUAUAGGGUUUUCAAACCCACAAUAAUUAUAUUUAAUUUCAUCAAUCAACAAUAAACCCGAUUACCCAUUCCCGUUAUCCUCACCUUACGUUCCUAAAAAUAACGUCUAUUAUAAGGAACUUAUUUCAGGAUUUUCAUCGGGACGGACAUUACUGCAGAGGGGCUUCCUCAACAAUAAGUGUCCUAAAGGCAACCAUGUGGGGGAUAGAGUACACCGGUGAACACGUCGUUCACAACACCUACAGGUAAUGAGCCUGCUAGUGUUCCACAGGACAGUCUAGAAUAGUCCGUGGUCGUCAUCCAUACUCUGCUGAAUGACUAGAAUAACACCAAUAACACCGAGGCCUCUCAUCUGUUUAUUUCACACCAAUUAUCUACCCAUGUUCUACCCAACAUAUUAGUAGAUAAAAAUAUACAUUUUUAUACACUGUUUAAAAACCUGUAUAGCAUGCUUUAAUCAAUACAUAUUCCACAUAACAGAUGAGGCAUACACACAUAACACGUAUUUCAUAGAGAAUAUACAUUCACACAUAUAACCACAAAAUAUAUACACAUACCACGUAUUUUAUAUUAAAUACUUCAUAAUAUUGCAUUGGAGAGAAAAUAACUACACACUCACUUGAUCAGAAGAUGAUCCGACACUACUACGGCUUAUAGAAGUAGCGUCUCUCCGUAGAUCUGGAAGAUCUUCACAAAAACCGGGCUCCUCGCGGGCAGGGCUUCGGCUCGGAAAUAACGCUCUUCGGGAUCCUCGGGGCUUCGGAUCUCGCUUCGGGGCUCGGGAAUAAUACCGGGGCUUCGGGGUAUAAAUGGCACGCAAAUCGAGGCAAAAGAUGAGAGAAGAUGAAGAAUUUGUAAAAGAAAACUCGGCUGCUUCGGACCUCCUUUUAUAGGUGCUGAACCCUCGCACGUACGCGGGGCGUACGAGGCUACGCGGGGCGUACGCCUCGGUGGUCGUCAGCGCUUACGUCAUCGGGCCCUCUACGUCAUUGCUUACGACUUCGGACUACUCGAGUGCCCCUCGCUGUACGCGGGGCGUACAGCAGUACGCGCUGCGUACUUCGGAUAGACCGCCUCAUCCUUCUUCGGAUAAUAUCGGAGUUAAAUAAAAAUAAAUAUUAAAUAUUUAUUAAACUUCAAAAAUUCAUAUCUCCUUCAUACGAACUCCGUUUUCGACGUUCUUUAUAUCCACGCGAAGGUGAGACUACGCUCUACAACUUUCGUUUAGACUCCGUCGGCUAAUUUUGACUUUUAUUUUUAUUAAUUAUUUUUAGAAGGCUCGGACAGGAAAACUUCGUUAUAAAAUCAUAACUUCUUCGUCCGACGUCCGUUCUCGCCUAUCUUUUCAUCGUUUCGCUACUAACAACGAGAUCUUCGAUUCUCAUUUAGAUUGUUUCGGCUAGAAAUCGCUCGAUCUCAAAUCGAGUAUUCGGGCUGCAUACUGCCACGUCGAAACUUCAGAAAAUCAUAACUUCUUCAUACGAAGUCAGAUUUGGGCGUUUCUUUUACGGACGCUCUCGGUUUAAUGAAAUCUACGACUUUUGUUUAGAUCGCUAAGGCUAAAUAUCGCUCUAUCUUAAAUUCAUGUUUUACGUCACUCGGCGUCGUGCCGGUUCUGCCGCGAAACUUCGACAGGUCAUAACUUCUUUGUUAUAACUCGGAUUUUGGCAUUCCUUAUAUCUCCGGAAUCCUUGUUUCAACCACUACAACUUUAUGCAAAGAUAUCGGGCUUAUCUCACACUUUAAUUUUGACACUUAUUUUAUUCUUAAUUCAUUAAAUUAUAAUAAUUAAGAACACACACAUAAAUCACAUAAUUCACAUAAUUCACAAAUAAUACAUUUUAUUAUUUCAAAUUGGGGUUACAAAGGUUAACCUAGACUAUUACAUUGCUAAAAAUGGCAAGCCUAGAAACACUGGCGUUACAAGUUGUGGUUUAAAUGUUUCAGGUACUUCAUGAGACCGUGGCAAAGCAAAGGCAUGAUCGUACUGCUCCUCAUGAUUAUGUUUUUAUGAUAUGGUUUUGGGAAGACUCUGAUAAUAAUUGUAUUGAAAACCUUUUUGUAAUAACUUAAUGAAACUGGGUUGUUUUUGAAAAGUUUAAAUUGGUUGGAAUUUUUAGAGUGUUACA
This 8699-nucleotide long non-coding RNA is filed under the name Lactuca sativa (garden lettuce). Its description in RNAcentral is "long non-coding RNA (LSAT_LNC004526)". Lineage: Eukaryota; Viridiplantae; Streptophyta; Magnoliopsida; Asterales; Asteraceae. The record is from RNAcentral.